This is a long non-coding RNA of Papaver somniferum (opium poppy), 454 nucleotides long. RefSeq lists it as uncharacterized. The record is from RefSeq and is a predicted model, not a curated record. Lineage: Eukaryota; Viridiplantae; Streptophyta; Magnoliopsida; Ranunculales; Papaveraceae. The transcript has 3 exons.
AAAACUACAGAAACUCCAGUCAAUCAUACACAAUCCCUAAUCGAAGUGAUGAAAAUGAUGAGUGUACCUGAAGCAGGCCCCAAACAAAAAAUAGUUUACUCCACCAAGACGAUUCAUUUCAGUCCACCAAGCUAAGAAGUUUAGUCCACCAUUUCACAUCCGUCCGAGUAAUGAGUAAACUAAGAAGAAGAACAGAGAAAAAGAGGGAGGGAGAUGAAAUUGAGUUCAGUUAUUGAUCACAACAUUGAUGUUUGGUGCUUACACAGAGAUGCAGAGGAAACUGUGCUCAGAUGGGAAGACUUUGAAAGGGGAUUGUUUGGUGGUUAAUCGUCUUCGAAAAUCCAACAGUGCAUGUUUUCACUUAACUAUCUACCUUAUACGCAGUUUCUCUGUAAAUGUAAUAACAAUAAUUUUUCAAUAAUAAAUAAAGAAUAUCUGAGAAUUUUUCAGUAAA